GAACUGCUUAGGCACAAGCUAAUUAAUCUACAAAUGAAGAAUACUCCAGCAUUAUUGUAUAAUUAGACAAUCUCAGGAGGAAACAAGAGAAUUGCCAGGAGGAGGCAGACAGUUUUGCAGGGCUCCAUGGCAUUUAUUUUUUCGUUGCUCAGGUAGAGGAGCAGAGACAGGGGGAGACACAGAAUCUGAAGCAGGCUCCAGGCUCCGAGCUGUCAGCACAGAGCCUGACGCAGGGCUUGAACUCACAAACUGUGAGAUCAUGACCUGAGCUGAAGUUGGAUGCUUAACCGACUGAGCCACCCAGGCGCCCCUAAAUAUAUUAUUUUUUAAAAGAUUGAAGUUACCCAAAUGAUGAGGAAUUGGAAAUGAAAACACAUGAAUAACCCAAAAUAUUGCCUUUAAUAUGAACUUUUUGGGCUAUUUUUUAAGACUUUGUUCCCCAUGAACAGUGAGUCUAUUUCAUGAUAUGUGGUGAGUCUAUUUCAUGAUAUGUGGUGACUGUACAUUCUUUUCUUCACCAGUGUACUCAUUUGCAAAAAUUAUUGCUGUGUGUGUGUGUGUGUGUGUGCGCACAUGCGUGUAUGUGUGUGUGCAUAUGUGGUGGGGGUAGAGAAUUGCUAUUUCUUUCAAACCUUGAUUUUCUGAGAGUUAAGGAUUUGAGAUAGCACAGAUUCUAAAUAUAUAUGGAGAAAGUGACAAAAUUUUGAAAUGGUUUUGGGAAACAAAUGUCUGUGGUCAUAAAAAUCAUUUAUUUGUAUAUUUAUAUGUUGGAUGUUGGACAUCCCUUUGGUGCAAUGAUGAAUACAGAUGAAGUGGAUGAUAUAUUUAUACAUUCUAGAACAAAUUAUUAAAAACAAGGACUAUUACUAAAAGCAAGUUACUAUUACUAGUAACAAAUGAUGGUCCUCAAUGUUCGCAUCUGUAUGUUGGGUUGGUGGGUAUGUAAUAUUAAAAUGUUUGCCCUCAGGGUGUCUGGGUGGCUCAGUUGGUUGAGCAUCCAACUUUGGCUGAGGUCAUGAUCUUGCAGUUCAUGAGUCCGAGCCCCACAUUGGGCUCCGUGCUGACAACUCAGAGCCUGGAACCUCCUUUGGAUUCUGUGUCUCCCUCUCUCUCUGCCUCUCCCCGACUUGUUCUCUCUCUCUCUCUGUCUCUCUCAAAGUUAAAUAAACAUUUAAAAAAUUUUUUUAAUGAUAAAAUAAAAUAUUUGACGUCUGUGGUCAAAUGGUUGUUUAUCAAAGUUUCCCUGAAGCACAAUCAAUUUUCUCAGCUUCGAGAAAUAGAGGGGUGUAACAAGUGAAUUCGGUUCGAUUGUCUGGUUUUCGUUGAUUUCAAAUGUGCUUGUAUUGAAUGCUAACCCUUCUUCAAUCCAGCAACUAGCUUGUAUAUGAAAAUUAAACGUUUGGGGGGGGAGUUUCUUCUAUUCAUUUUUAAACUUGUAGCUCAGCACUUAUUUGUAUUAAAUUUUCUUUCCCUCCUUCACUCACUUGCAGUAGAUUAAAGUGUUGAUCUUUUCUUUUUGAAAUCAUAGUUUGGUAAGUGGGUGUCUUUGCGAAUAGUAACUUAAUUUUCUCUCUGGGAGUCUGCAGUUUCCAACCUGCAGAGACAAACACAGAAACACCGUGCCACACAAGCAUUCUGAUAUGAAAUUUGGAAAACUGGGAAUGUUGAAAGAGCUAGGAAGCACAGAUUGCACUCCCUUUGGACAAAGGUAAACAGGAAACAUGCUUUUUUAUAAAGUCAGAGAUUAAAUGAGUUAGUAGAAGCAAGCCUAGACAUCCACAUAAGCCAGAGUCGAAAACUAUACACUAAAAUACAUCUGAUAAGCAAAGAGAAUGACCCUUUGCAAAAGCCCUCACUUUUUAUUUGAAUCAAGGAUUCUUCAUAAGUUCAGCAACCUGCAGGAUUUUAAAAAGAAAACUAAAAUCCUCAGAGCAGCAGGCUUCCAUCCAACACUUUUGUGAUUGUCAAAUGACCAGAUUUGAAACGGUCAUCAUCUCACACCUAGGGUUUCUUUUUUUUUAUGUAUGUUUUAAUUUGUGAGGCAUAUCCACAGACAAAAUGACUCGUGAGAAACAGAAUCCUCCAGUGCUCCCAAUUGGCCCUAUUUCCCUAUCAAGUCAAGAAGGUCAAUUUUGCCUUGGGAUUUUAGAGUGUCCUCAGGUAGCCCUUAAAUUUACACAGUGUUCAUCUCGCAGCUAUGAUCACUGGUUUCUUUUGAGAUGUACUUAAGCUUUUCUGGAAGUUGUUCAGGAAACUGGAAAAUCCUUUUCUACAAGGAAACUUUCUUCCUGGGCCUUCUUAUAACCUGAGAUGAUGACCCCUUUGGGUCACGCAACCCAUGGAUCCCACUCUGUGAGUCUGUUUUAUAAAGACAGUAUAGUAGAUGAUAUCUAUGAAAUACAUUUGGAAAGUGGGUAGGAGCUAAGAUAAUGUCUUUUGAGAGUCACUGGUGGCCUCUGAAAUUAUAAUUCACAGAAAGUCACUGCUAGCCAAGAUCUCUUUUGAGUGGAAACCAGAAAAGACAAUAUAAUAGAACUCAUCUCUUACGAAGCAAGUCUUGAUUCUCUUGGAGUUGCUAACACUAACGUCAUUGUCCUUUUUCCUCAAAGAUGGAAUGACACUGGUUAAAAACUAAAGGUCUAUUAAUUAGCAUUUCAGAUAUGCCCUAAAUCACUUGGAAGUAUAACAACAAUGGAACAGAAAAAGAAGAAUAGUAUCAACAACAGAGAAAUGCUGCCUAACAGAAUAUUAAACCCCUUUUAACAAGGAAAUCCAUAGCUA
Molecule: long non-coding RNA, 2781 nt
Filed under: Lynx pardinus (Iberian lynx)
Lineage: Eukaryota; Metazoa; Chordata; Mammalia; Carnivora; Felidae
Source: RNAcentral